UGGGGAAUAUUGGACAAUGGGCGAAAGCCUGAUCCAGCGACGCCGCGCCUCGGAAGGAGUCCUUCGGGAUGUAAACGACUUUUGGUGGAGACGAAUAAGCAGCUCAGGGAAUGGGGCUGUGAUGACGGUAUCCAUGGAAUAAGCCCCGGCUAACUACGUGCCAGCAGCCGCGGUAAGACGUAGGGGGCAAGCGUUACCCGGAAUUACUGGGCGUAAAGGGAGCGUAGGCGGGAGGUCAAGGCCGGUGUGAAAGACCCUGGCUCAACCAGGGAUGAGGGCCGGAAACUGACAAUCUUGAGUACAGCAGAGGAAGAGGGAAUUACCGGUGUAGGGGUGAAAUCCGUAGAGACCGGUAAGAAGGCCAGUGGCGAAGGCGCUUUUCUGGGCUGUUACUGACGCUGAGGCUCGAAAGCCAGGGGAGCAAACCG
Molecule: ribosomal RNA, 428 nt
Filed under: uncultured bacterium
Lineage: Bacteria
Description: bacterial SSU rRNA
Rfam family: Bacterial small subunit ribosomal RNA
Source: RNAcentral